AGAAUCAACGCUGGCGGCGUGCCUAACACAUGCAAGUCGAACGAGAAAGUGGAGCAAUCCACCAGUAAAGUGGCGCACGGGUGAGUAACACGUGACUAACCUACCCUUGAGUGGGGGAUAACCUAGGGAAACCUGGGCUAAUACCGCAUAAUACCUUCGGGUCAAAGGAGCAAUUCGCUUAAGGAGGGGUCGCGGCCGAUUAGUUAGUUGGCGGGGUAAUGGCCCACCAAGACUGUGAUCGGUAUCC
RNAcentral lists this ribosomal RNA (247 nucleotides) under uncultured bacterium. RNAcentral's name for it is "partial small subunit ribosomal RNA". It matches the Rfam family "Bacterial small subunit ribosomal RNA", at positions 26 to 288 of the family's 1533-position model. The record is from RNAcentral.